RNAcentral lists this ribosomal RNA (303 nucleotides) under uncultured bacterium. Its description in RNAcentral is "partial 16S ribosomal RNA". It matches the Rfam family "Bacterial small subunit ribosomal RNA", at positions 507 to 807 of the family's 1533-position model. The record is from RNAcentral.
AGCAGUCGCCGCGGGAAUACUGAGGGUGCAAGCGUUAAUCGGAAUUACUGGGCGUAAAGCGUGCGUAGGCGGCUUCUUAAGUCGGAUGUGAAAUCCCUGAGCUUAACUUAGGAAUUGCAUUCGAUACUGGGAAGCUAGAGUAUGGGAGAGGAUGGUAGAAUUCCAGGUGUAGCGGUGAAAUGCGUAGAGAUCUGGAGGAAUACCGAUGGCGAAGGCAGCCAUCUGGCCUAAUACUGACGCUGAGGUACGAAAGCAUGGGGAGCAAACAGGAUUAGAGACCCCUGUAGUCCCUGUCUCUUAUAC